Long non-coding RNA from Mus caroli (Ryukyu mouse), 301 nucleotides. RefSeq lists it as uncharacterized. NCBI's taxonomy places the organism in Eukaryota, Metazoa, Chordata, Mammalia, Rodentia, Muridae. The record is from RefSeq and is a predicted model, not a curated record.
CUCGGGACCUCCAGAAGGCGGGAGAAGUGCACAGGAAAACCACAGGUGGCUACGCAGAGCACUUAUCAUAGUAAAGAGGCACACCUCGAUUGCUUUCUGGCCUUAUGGAAGAGUUGAAGCCUACACAAUAACUUGGGCAAAGUGCACAGGAGGAUCAGACAGAGCAUCCAGAAAGGAGCGGGACCGAAACAGAAAUGGGCAUGCUUCACAAUUGGAUCAGCUAAACUCAGAGAAAGUUUUAUCAGUGCAAGAUUCACUAAGGGAAAAUGACUGGAGCUUCCCUGGGCAACCCCCCCCCCCC